GAACGCUGGCGGCGCGCCUAAUACAUGCAAGCCGAGCGAGAAGACGUAGCAAUACGUUUGUAAAGCGGCGAACGGGUGAGGAAUACAUGGGUAACCUACCCUCGAGUGGGGAAUAACUAGCCGAAAGGUUAGCUAAUACCGCGUACGCUCCUUGGACUUCGGUUCAGGGAGGAAAGCGAUACCGUGGGUAUCGCGCUCUUGGUUGGGCUCAUGUCCUAUCAGCUUGUUGGUGAGGUAACGGCUCACCAAGGCUUCGACGGGUAGCUGGUCUGAGAGGACGAUCAGCCACACUGGCACUGCGACACGGGCCAGACUCCUACGGGAGGCAGCAGUAAGGAAUAUUGCGCAAUGGGCGAAAGCCUGACGCAGCGACGCCGCGUGGGGGAUGAAGGUCUUCGGAUUGUAAACCCCUUUCGGGAGGGAAGAUGGAACGAGCAAUCGUUCGGACGGUACCUCCAGAAGCAGCCACGGCUAACUUCGUGCCAGCAGCCGCGGUAAUACGAAGGUGGCAAGCGUUAUUCGGAUUUACUGGGCGUACAGGGAGCGUAGGCGGUUCGGUAAGCCCUCUGUGAAAUCUCCAGGCUUAACCUGGAACAGUCGGAGGGGACUGCUGGGCUAGAGGACGGGAGAGGAGCGCGGAAUUCCCGGUGUAGCGGUGAAAUGCGUAGAGAUCGGGAGGAAGGCCGGUGGCGAAGGCGGCGCUCUGGAACGUUUCUGACGCUGAGGCUCGAAAGCGUGGGGAGCAAA
This 747-nucleotide ribosomal RNA is filed under the name uncultured soil bacterium. RNAcentral describes it as "bacterial SSU rRNA". It matches the Rfam family "Bacterial small subunit ribosomal RNA", at positions 31 to 772 of the family's 1533-position model. The record is from RNAcentral.